RNAcentral lists this transfer RNA (73 nucleotides) under Felis catus (domestic cat). It matches the Rfam family "tRNA". Rfam says of the family: Transfer RNA (tRNA) molecules are approximately 80 nucleotides in length. Their secondary structure includes four short double-helical elements and three loops (D, anti-codon, and T loops). Lineage: Eukaryota; Metazoa; Chordata; Mammalia; Carnivora; Felidae. The record is from Rfam by way of RNAcentral. RNAcentral also lists the same sequence under 1 other name.
ACCUGGUUGGCUUAGUCAGUGGAGCAUGUGACUCUUGAUCUGGGGAUUGUGGGUCCAAGCCCCACAUCGGGUG